UAGGGAAUCUUCGGCAAUGGGGGCAACCCUGACCGAGCAACGCCGCGUGAGUGAAGAAGGUUUUCGGAUCGCAAAGCUCUGUUGUAAGAGAAGAACGUGUGUGAGAGUGGAAAGUUCACACAGUGACGGUAACUUACCAGAAAGGGACGGCUAACUACGUGCCAG
This 165-nucleotide ribosomal RNA is filed under the name uncultured bacterium. RNAcentral's name for it is "partial 16S rRNA". It matches the Rfam family "Bacterial small subunit ribosomal RNA", at positions 355 to 511 of the family's 1533-position model. The record is from RNAcentral.